Molecule: unclassified non-coding RNA, 1487 nt
Filed under: Hevea brasiliensis (rubber tree)
Lineage: Eukaryota; Viridiplantae; Streptophyta; Magnoliopsida; Malpighiales; Euphorbiaceae
Source: RNAcentral
UCCAUCCUAAUUUUAAGCAACCAUUUUCCUCCACCAAAGUAUAUCCUUUCCAAGGGAACAUACCAAGUAACAGGCUAGCUUGGGCGGCCGGGUUACCGCCAAGUGAAACGGGUUGAAACCCGACGCGUCUCAACUCAUCCCCCCAUCUCUCCACCUUCACCUCACCGGUCCUCUUGGGCCCACCAACAGCCACAAUGUUUCUAAUCUCCGAACCAAACAACUGCUGCUCCACUGUAUGCCUCUCCACGCUGUCUGCACCCAAUCCAUCCCCUAGCGCAUCAAAUAAAGCACUAUAAUAAUGCAAAGCCUCCACGAACCUCCCUAAAAAACUACCUCCAUGGCUCAAGUCUUGUUCAACGGUCGUGAUCAAUUUGGGCCUCAACAAAGUCAACAAUCUCAACGUCCCUAAAUCGCUCCCAGUUAUAUCGUAAAGACAGUGAUGCAUCCAGUGAACCACAACCGCCUCCCUUGGUCUAACACCGAGUUGACUAACAUCUGUCACAUUUCCAAUUUUACCCUCCACAGGAUGGAAUUCGAAGGGCAGGCCUAGUGAGUUCGCGAAAUCUGCGAGUCUCUUCCCUGUUGACUCGAGCAACUCGGAGGAUGAUCCGAACCCGGUUAUUCUCAUGGAUCGGACCUUCUUGGUUCUUGAAGCAAGUAUGUGGAACAAUCCUGGCCAUUGAAGGCCUUGCAUGAUAUCGAGAUCGAUGACGUGGACACGAUCCUCACCGUCCAAUGCUUGGAAAAUUGAUUGGUUGGCAGUGAAGUGAGAGAACUUGAUUAACGGACUGAUUGAAUUGUAGGACUGAAACGCGUUGAAGAUUUUUUGAGACUGAGUUAGGGUUAGGGAUUUGGAGGUGAGAGGUGAAUAGGUACCCAAGCAGGAACUUACCACACGCGCAUGGAGCGCGUGAGCGAAGUAGGCACCGACGCGCUCAGGGGACGAUCCGAACGGAGAUGAGAGCUCGGAGAUCUCAGGAAGGAGAUCGGACGCGUCGUCGAGGUUGUCCAUGGCAACGCACUCUGCGCAUUGUAGCAAAAGGCCAAGGAGCCUGAGACCAGUGGACUCCGUGGAAUCUUCCUCGCCAGUAGUUUUGUCGCCGGAGACAGUGGCCUCAGUGGAGAAGUUAGGUCGUUUGGCAGAAGGGUCGUCAGCGCCUCCUGAGGCGUCCCCACCCGCCAGUUCUUUGUCGACGCGCUUUGUCUUCAUGGAGGAAGUAGAAUUGUUGGGUUUAGAACUAGAAUUGAUUGGCGAUUGAGGAACUAAGCUUUGAAGCAUGAUCGGAGAUAGAGAAUCGAAAGGCUGAAGAGCUUUCGAGAGAAAAGAGACAAAAUCUUGUAAACAAGGACAAGAGAAGUACGAUUAGAAAGCUGCAGAGAAGUGUCAGAGGAUAAAGGAAAGAAAAUAAAAGGGUGCUGUCAGCUGCGUUUGGAAAGAGAGAAAGUGAGGGAAAAUAAAUUAGAAAGGUAGAAAACUUUUCUAUAAG